Molecule: long non-coding RNA, 784 nt
Filed under: Nicotiana benthamiana
Lineage: Eukaryota; Viridiplantae; Streptophyta; Magnoliopsida; Solanales; Solanaceae
Description: long non-coding RNA (NBEN_LNC021941)
Source: RNAcentral
UAGAAGAUAAUUUUUACUGUAUUUAUCAAGAUUUACGCAUUAAAAUCAAAUAAAAAGAAUCCCAUUGUUCAAACAUGUCUAAACUUAAUUAAUCUCAAGUGUAAAAGAGUAAUGGUCUCCACAGAUAAAGAGGUGUGGCAGGGAGAGAGUGGGCGCAGGACAAUGUGGAUCCAUGAUUUAAAUUUGAUAGGAGAAAUAUUUAUGCUCUCACUUCUCCCCACGAAAUUCAUUACACAUUUGCAAGCAUCCCACCUUCAUCCUUAAGAAGGGCCGCACCCCCAGCGGGUUCAAAUUUAGUAUAGUCGGCGUUCGGCGAGGUAGAGGGAGGCCUAAAAAGUGUUGGGGAGAGGUGAUUAGGCAUGACAUGGCUAGAAUGCGGGUUUCCGAGUACAUGACCCUUGAUAGGAAAGUCUGGAGGUCUAGUAUCAGGGUUGUAGGAUAGGGGCCCCUAGAGUUUUCGAUUAGGCAUGACAUGGCUAGAAUGCGGGUUUCCGAGUACAUGACCCUUGAUAGGAAAGUCUGGAGGUCUAGUAUCAGGUUGUAGGAUAGGGGCUCCUACAGUUUUUCGUACUCCUUACCCGGGUUGGAUGAGGGUUGGCAGGGCUAUCCAUAGAUGAUUUAUGUUUUGGCUUGUGUCUGCCUUAUGGUAGUUAUUUAUAGUAAUUACUGUAUUAUAUUAUUGCAUGAUAUUUUAUUUAUGUUUCUUAUGUUUAGAUAAGAAACUAAUGCUCUUUUGUUUUUGUUUUUGUUUUUCCUUCCUUCACUGAGCCGAGGGUCGAUUGGA